AGCUUUGUGCAGUGGCAGUAUCGUAGCCAAUGAGGUUUAUCUGAGGCACAAUUAUUGCUAAUUGAAAACGUUUCCCAAUACCCCGCCAUGAAAACUUGAAAUAGAGUUGGCAUUGGCAAUUUUUGACAGUCUCUAAGGAGA
This is a small nuclear RNA of Callithrix jacchus (white-tufted-ear marmoset), 141 nucleotides long. Its record names the gene U4. It matches the Rfam family "U4 spliceosomal RNA". Rfam says of the family: U4 small nuclear RNA (U4 snRNA) is a component of the major U2-dependent spliceosome. The structure of U4 snRNA from yeast and human has been reported. The record is from Ensembl. NCBI's taxonomy places the organism in Eukaryota, Metazoa, Chordata, Mammalia, Primates, Cebidae.